RNAcentral lists this ribosomal RNA (468 nucleotides) under uncultured bacterium. RNAcentral describes it as "partial 16S ribosomal RNA". It matches the Rfam family "Bacterial small subunit ribosomal RNA", at positions 28 to 507 of the family's 1533-position model. The record is from RNAcentral.
GACGAACGCUGGCGGCGUGCUUAACACAUGCAAGUCGAACGGAAAGGCCCUGCUUUUGUGGGGUGCUCGAGUGGCGAACGGGUGAGUAACACGUGAGUAACCCGCCCUUGACUUUGGGAUAACUUCAGGAAACUGGGGCAAAUACCGGAUAGGAGCUCCUGCUGCAUGGUGGGGGUUGGAUAGUUUCGGCGGUUGGGGAUGGACUCGCGGCUUAUCAGCUUGUUGGUGGGGUAGUGGCUUACCAAGGCUUUGACGGGUAGCCGGCCUGAGAGGGUGACCGGCCACAUUGGGACUGAGAUACGGCCCAGACUCCAACGGGAGGCAGCGGGGGGGAAUAUUGCACAAUGGGCGGAAGCCUGAUGCGGCAACGCCGCGUGCGGGAUGACGGCCUUCGGGUUGUAAACCGCUUUCGCCUGUGACGAAGCGGGAGUGACGGUAAUGGGUAAAGAAGCACCGGCUAACUACGUG